Molecule: ribosomal RNA, 174 nt
Filed under: uncultured bacterium
Lineage: Bacteria
Description: partial 16S ribosomal RNA
Rfam family: Bacterial small subunit ribosomal RNA
Source: RNAcentral
UGGAAUUGCUAGUAAUGGCAGGUCAGCAUACUGCCGUGAAUACGUUCCCGGGCCUUGUACACACCGCCCGUCGCACCAUGAGAGUUGGAAAUACCCGAAGCCUGUGAGCUAACAGUAAUGAGGCAGCAGUCGAAGGUAGAGCCAAUGAUUGGGGUGAAGUCGUAACAAGGUACC